AGUCCCGGCUAGGGACACAGCUCUUAGACUUUGAGCUAGACAACCAGGAGGACAGGAGGACCUAGUAUCCUGCCUCCAUCAGCCCAUCAUUUAUGCAAAUGCUACUUAGUUGCCGUCUAGAUGCAGGAUGCUGUCUGCCCUGUUAAAUGCUGUGUGAACCCAGAUGGAAGCUGAGCAGACAUCACACUCAUGCUGAGAUUAAAGGCAUGUGCCAUCACCACCUGAACAACAGCAGCUUUCUAAGGAACCAGUAAGGCACUACAGACUUUUCAUAUAACAUCACCUUCAUUCUCUCACAACUAAUUCUACAAAACAGAUGUUAUACGACCUCGUUCGCUGAAGUCAAAGAUGCAGAGGGGCCAAGGUGUGGGCUCCGGACCUCACACCAGUGUGGCAGAUUCAACAAGCCCAGAAUAAGCCUCUUCCUUUGCUCACAAUAAGAUUAAGCCAACUGCCUCUUCAUUCCUCAGUCACACUCCUCCUCUGACCCUGCUCCAGGAGGCUCAUCUUGUCAGACUUCACACUGAAUGAGCGCUGAGGAUGCUGUAGAGUAUGAGCUGUGUGCAGGUGAUAGCAGUGGAAAGAAGACUAAGACAGACUCCAUCUAGAAACCAGAAUGACCUCUUUUAUGGAAAAAGAGACUGUAUCACUCGUGUUUCUACCCACAAAAACCUCCACUGUGAGCUCUCUCUCACCUAGGCAGGAGUCUGCAUGGCCCCGCUCUUGCCACAUCGCCAACCCCAGCCUUUGUCACUCUCUCAUAACCACUCUGUCCCUGUACAGAUACAUGAUCUGUUCCUCCCACACAUCAGCUCUUCCUGACGCUGGGCCUUUGCAUAUGUUCUUCUGCCUCAUGCCUUUCCUCCUCUUCCUGCAGGAUUGCUAUCUUCUGGUCCUGUACUCCUCAAGCUCAAAGGCCAACGUCCUGGCAUUUGUGUGACGGCUUUUGCCCUACCCUGCAGAAUUUGCAAUAGGCAGUCUCUACAUGUACUCAGGGCCCAGUGGGCAUUCAACAUGUUCAUUGAAUGACAA
RNAcentral lists this long non-coding RNA (1032 nucleotides) under Mus musculus (house mouse). Its description in RNAcentral is "predicted gene, 32817, transcript variant 23 (Gm32817)". The record is from RNAcentral. Lineage: Eukaryota; Metazoa; Chordata; Mammalia; Rodentia; Muridae.